This 520-nucleotide ribosomal RNA is filed under the name uncultured bacterium. Its description in RNAcentral is "bacterial SSU rRNA". It matches the Rfam family "Bacterial small subunit ribosomal RNA", at positions 347 to 858 of the family's 1533-position model. The record is from RNAcentral.
GGCAGCAGUGGGGAAUUUUGGACAAUGGGGGCAACCCUGAUCCAGCCAUGCCGCGUGAGUGAAGAAGGCCUUCGGGUUGUAAAGCUCUUUCAGCCGGGAAGAAAUGGCAUGGGUUAAUAUCCUGUGUGGAUGACGGUACCGGAAUAAGAAGCACCGGCUAACUACGUGCCAGCAGCCGCGGUAAUACGUAGGGUGCGAGCGUUAAUCGGAAUUACUGGGCGUAAAGCGUGCGCAGGCGGUUUGUUAAGAUAGGCGUGAAAUCCCCGGGCUCAACCUGGGAACUGCGUUUAUGACUGGCAGGCUAGAGUAUGGCAGAGGGGGGUGGAAUUCCACGUGUAGCAGUGAAAUGCGUAGAGAUGUGGAGGAACACCGAUGGCGAAGGCAGCCCCCUGGGCCAAUACUGACGCUCAUGCACGAAAGCGUGGGUAGCAAACAGGAUUAGAUACCCUGGUAGUCCACGCCCUAAACGAUGUCAACUAGGUGUUGGGUGGGUAAAACCAUUUAGUACCGGAGCUAACGC